Molecule: ribosomal RNA, 208 nt
Filed under: Lactobacillus crispatus
Lineage: Bacteria; Bacillati; Bacillota; Bacilli; Lactobacillales; Lactobacillaceae
Description: partial 23S ribosomal RNA
Rfam family: Bacterial large subunit ribosomal RNA
Source: RNAcentral
UGUUGGGAUACUACCCUUGUUUGAAGGAUGCUCUAACCUCGACCUGUAAGCCAGGCCAGGGACAGUGUCAGGUGGGCAGUUUGACUGGGGCGGUCGCCUCCUAAAGUGUAACGGAGGCGCUCAAAGGGUCCCUCAGAAUGGUUGGAAAUCAUUCGCAGAGUGUAAAGGUAUAAGGGAGCUUGACUGCGAGAGAGACAACUCGAGCAGG